GUGCUUGCUCCUGCAGCACAUAUACUAAAAUUGGAAUGAUAGAGAUUAGCAAGGCCCCAUGCAAAAGGAUGAUACGCAAAUUCAUGAAGCCUUAUGUGCCAGAUAAAAUUAUA
Myotis brandtii (Brandt's bat) is the source of this 113-nucleotide non-coding RNA. Lineage: Eukaryota; Metazoa; Chordata; Mammalia; Chiroptera; Vespertilionidae. The record is from Rfam.